GUGUCAGCAGCCGCGGUAAUACGGAGGGUGCAAGCGUUAUUCGGAAUUACUGGGCGUAAAGCGCGUGCAGGCGGGCGGGCAAGUCUGAUGUGAAAGCCCGGGGCUUAACCCCGGAAGUGCAUUGGAAACUGCUCGUCUUGAGUUCCGGAGAGGAAGGGGGAAUUCCCGGUGUAGAGGUGAAAUUCGUAGAGAUCGGGAGGAAUACCAGUGGCGAAGGCGCCCUUCAGGACGGCAACUGACGCUGAGACGCGAAAGCGUGGGGAGCAAACAGGAUUAGAAACCCUGGUAGUCC
This 292-nucleotide ribosomal RNA is filed under the name uncultured bacterium. RNAcentral describes it as "partial 16S ribosomal RNA". It matches the Rfam family "Bacterial small subunit ribosomal RNA", at positions 505 to 796 of the family's 1533-position model. The record is from RNAcentral.